This is a non-coding RNA of Paramuricea clavata, 364 nucleotides long. Lineage: Eukaryota; Metazoa; Cnidaria; Anthozoa; Malacalcyonacea; Plexauridae. The record is from the annotation of a GenBank genome assembly.
ACUGCCCCUGUUGAUGGUAUUUAUCAAAUCAGUUUCUCGUAUUUGCAACGGAAUGGUUAUCAGAGUUAUGUGAAGUUGAUGAAAGAUGGCAGCCAGUAUACUCUCGUGCACGCAAACCACAAGAAUCAUGAUCAGUUGAGUAAGACAGUUCUUAUACAAUUGAAGAAAGGUCAGAACGUGUGGGUUCGUCUGGUCAAAAAUUCUUCCUUUGCUGUUUAUGGCCUAGAAAGAUACACGACAUUUGCUGGAUAUUUAAUCUCCCACUAGUGAACUCACAAUCAGUAAGAAAGAAAAAUGGACAUUGGAAAGCAAUCUUUAUAGCCAGUUAUACAUGUAUACUGUUGAUUAAAUAUGAAAAAAUCUG